RNAcentral lists this unclassified non-coding RNA (911 nucleotides) under Hevea brasiliensis (rubber tree). The record is from RNAcentral. Lineage: Eukaryota; Viridiplantae; Streptophyta; Magnoliopsida; Malpighiales; Euphorbiaceae.
UUGGAAAAUAGAGACUGCCAUUAACAAAGACCACAAAAUAAAAUUCCACAAAAAUGUUGAGAAAUCGCGGUCAGAAAAGACUCGAAUACACACUGAAUGGUGAGUAUUCCAGUAUCGAAGAAUUCUAGAUUUCUUCAGUAAUGGAAUUAUGAUAAUCUUAGCCACUCGAGACAUUUUUUGUCUCCAACCAGAGCCAAAGUAUAAUGUAGCAGUUCACAUUCUUUAAAAUACCCCAGCAAAUGAAAUGAAAAAACAAUUGUUUGUUUCCUUUUAUUCCUAAAUAACAGAUGAACUCACAGAAUCCAACCCCACAAGAGGAUCCAGAAAACUGCUCAUGGAGCCAAUUAGUAGCCCCAGUAGUCGUUUCGAAUUUCAUCAUCAAAUUUCUUCUUUAACUCGGGAUGCUUUGCGAAGUAUUCUUCUGCUGUCAUGGUACUGAGUUUUUUCUUCAACUCUUGGACCUCGGCAACUUCCUUUUCUAAUCUUUCAGACUCCUUGAGAGAUUGCUUCUCAGCUUCUUUCAGCUCCACCAACAAAGCAUCAAACUUGGGUUUGUAUUGAGGAGUAACUGUGUCCUCAAACUUGGGGAUCUCAAUGCUUUCAUAGGCUUCUUUGUACAUGUCUACCAAGCGAGAACCAAUUCCUUUCCUGUAAUAUUCCCAGUUUAUGGGCUCAGGCUCCUGGCUGAACUUGGUUUGGAGUUGUGAGUUGACAUCAUCGAAAGCACGACGGAGAUUAGAAAACUCCUUACGAGCUUCAUCGGUGACAAGAAGCUUUGCCAUUCCAUCCCAAUCAAUAGUCCGGCCGGCCUUGAAUGUCACAUCGGCGAUCUUCUUCACUGUUCCGCUCAUUUUCGAUCUCUAUUCUCUUCUCUCUUCGUAAUCUUUUCGGCCGUCUGUUUGAUGUGCUGU